This 253-nucleotide ribosomal RNA is filed under the name uncultured bacterium. RNAcentral describes it as "partial 16S ribosomal RNA". It matches the Rfam family "Bacterial small subunit ribosomal RNA", at positions 524 to 776 of the family's 1533-position model. The record is from RNAcentral.
UACAGAGGGGGCGAGCGUUGUUCGGAAUUACUGGGCGUAAAGGGCGCGUAGGCGGCCUGCUAAGUCGGAUGUGAAAUCCCUCGGCUCAACCGAGGAACUGCAUCCGAUACUGGCGGGCUUGAAUCCGGGAGAGGGAUGUGGAAUUCCAGGUGUAGCGGUGAAAUGCGUAGAUAUCUGGAGGAACACCGGUGGCGAAGGCGGCAUCCUGGACCGGUAUUGACGCUGAGGCGCGAAAGCUAGGGGAGCAAACGGG